This 274-nucleotide ribosomal RNA is filed under the name uncultured bacterium. RNAcentral describes it as "partial 16S ribosomal RNA". It matches the Rfam family "Bacterial small subunit ribosomal RNA", at positions 523 to 796 of the family's 1533-position model. The record is from RNAcentral.
AUACAGAGGGUGCGAGCGUUAAUCGGAAUCACUGGGCGUAAAGCGCGCGCAGGCGGCUUGAUAAGUUGGAUGUGAAAGCCUACGGCUCAACCGUAGAACUGCAUCCAAAACUGUCAAGCUAGAGUCUGGGAGGGGGAGAUGGAAUUAGUUGUGUAGGGGUAAAAUCCGUAGAGAUAACUAGGAAUACCAAAAGCGAAGGCGAUCUUCUGGAACAGUACUGACGCUGAGGCGCGAAAGCGUGGGGAGCAAACAGGAUUAGAAACCCUAGUAGUCC